This is a long non-coding RNA of Hibiscus syriacus, 394 nucleotides long. RefSeq lists it as uncharacterized. NCBI's taxonomy places the organism in Eukaryota, Viridiplantae, Streptophyta, Magnoliopsida, Malvales, Malvaceae. The transcript is spliced from 2 exons. The record is from RefSeq and is a predicted model, not a curated record.
CAUCUCAAAUGAUUGUUUAAUUUCUCAUCGAUUCAUCUCAUGUACAUAAAUAAAAUCCCACCUUUUUUUCAGUUUUGCAAAUAAGUAAUUGAAAUGACCAAAAACAAGCUCCAAACAUGGAGAUUUCUUCAUGAUUUGAUAUUGAUAUCUACUUUGUUUGGUCAUGUUGUAUGUCAAGACGAUGAUGAAGAUGGCGCUAGUAAGUUUGGAAACAGCUCGGCUGCUAAUCAAUUAUUCUCCAAAUAUGCUUCCGAUCGCUUUUCUAAUCUUUCUUCUAGCUUGAAGGACGAUAUAAAGGAAAAUUUUAGUUUUUGCAUUACGGAUGUGGAUGCAGAUUGGAACGGCGCAUUCAAUUUCUCAAAGAACCCCAAAUUCUUGGCCAAAUGUGCCAGAA